RNAcentral lists this non-coding RNA (25 nucleotides) under Mus musculus (house mouse). The record is from RNAcentral. Lineage: Eukaryota; Metazoa; Chordata; Mammalia; Rodentia; Muridae.
AGAAGCUUGGAACAUGUGUAUGUGA